AUUGAACGCUGGCGGCAGGCCUAACACAUGCAAGUCGAGCGGAUGAAGGGAGCUUGCUCCUGGAUUCAGCGGCGGACGGGUGAGUAAUGCCUAGGAAUCUGCCUGGUAGUGGGGGAUAACGUCCGGAAACGGGCGCUAAUACCGCAUACGUCCUGAGGGAGAAAGUGGGGGAUCUUCGGACCUCACGCUAUCAGAUGAGCCUAGGUCGGAUUAGCUAGUUGGUGGGGUAAAGGCCUACCAAGGCGACGAUCCGUAACUGGUCUGAGGGGAUGAUCAGUCACACUGGAACUGAGACACGGUCCAGACUCCUACGGGAGGCAGCAGUGGGGAAUAUUGGACAAUGGGCGAAAGCCUGAUCCAGCCAUGCCGCGUGCGUGAAGAAGGUCUUCGGAUUGUAAAGCACUUUAAGUUGGGAGGAAGGGCAGUAAGUUAAUACCUUGCUGUUUUGACGUUACCAACAGAAUAAGCACCGGCUAACUUCGUG
This 484-nucleotide ribosomal RNA is filed under the name uncultured bacterium. Its description in RNAcentral is "partial 16S ribosomal RNA". It matches the Rfam family "Bacterial small subunit ribosomal RNA", at positions 30 to 507 of the family's 1533-position model. The record is from RNAcentral.